CGGUUCGCCAUUGGGAAAAAAAGUCACAUGCCUCCUCUCGUACUCCAUGCCUCUGGCGCUUCGCCUCGCUUUGCAGCGGCGGCGACCCACCCCGUCGUCCGCCUCGCCUUGCCUCACGCCGGAGGCGGCCGGUGGUAGCACAACGUGCUCCGUCGGCGGCAACGGCGACUCCUUCUUGCCGAAUAGAGGAGCCGUUUGAUGUUCAGCAGGAACUCCUCAUCUGGUGAGAUCCCCCCCUCCCCAAUUGCAAGCACCUAUUUGAUGUUCUUCUGCCCAUCUAAAUUCCACAUGUUAUGUCAGUGGUACAGCCGCAUGGAUUGGAAGUAUGUAUUUCAGCUUGGGUUUAAAGGGGCAGUCUGGUGAUAUGAAAAUUUGUACAAACUAUCUAGGACCUCAAGUUCACAUGGGUGUGCUUAUUUACCUUCUAACUACAGAUGACACCCAAUAGAUCAAUUAGUGCCAUCUCCAGAUUUCUAUCAUCAUGUUGCUUCAUUUAUCUUCAUAUAAGUUUCACUGAGAGAUGCAUGCAUUAAACAUAGUGUUUUUUAGUGGGCAUCAGACUUGGUUAGAUGGCUUUUGCUGUGAAAGAAAAUUUAUCUCUCUAAAGAUCUGUACUCUGAAUCCUAGAUCUCAUACUUGAUUUUUGGUAUAAGAAUAGAUAUCUAUAGAUCGUUGCUGUAUGGAUACAGUAUAGAUGAGAUACUUGAUUUCACUACUCCAAGAUCACUUACAGGUAAUUGAACUUGCUCCGGAAGCAUGGAGCAUCCUGAGAUCCCUGAUGUGGUAGUUAGCUUCUUGCAUGUUGCUUACACAUACGUGCCAGUAGCUGUCUCCAGUCUCCACUGCAUUUCACUAGCAGUAGUUUUCGCCUUGUGAGUUAGACGAUUCCGAGAGAGCAAAGAGUGAGUUGAGAGGGAUGGAGAGAGCACAGAAGGGAAGGAGAAAGGAAUAGGGAGGAGCGGCGGUGGUUGGUUCUCCGGAGGCACUGGAUCGGGCACGGGCGCAGAGCUCCUGCUCGGGGACGCGAAGAUCCUGGGAGGCACUCUCCCAUUCAGUUACCCUUACUAUCGGUUCCUAGGUGCAGCCCCGGCGGCCAUCGCCUGAACGGCGCGGACGCGUGCUUCUCCCCAGGGAGGGCCAUGCCGCUGCAGAUGAAACUGAAUCCCCUUCCGAGCCGGCGGACAUGACAUGGUUGGUUUCACGGGAUUGACUCGGCUACCUACAGAAGUGCCACCAAUCUGAACCAAGCUGUUGCGUCAAGGCUACAUCAUCAGGAUUCACACCUCGCCAGAUCCGAGACUGCUGUUUGGAAGGGAUCCAUUAGUUGUCGCCGCUGUUCAAGUUAGAUGUAACACAAUCUGUACAGCUCCAUUAUUGCGAUUCAAAGACUCCAUCAUGGAGUAAUUUUUGCUGUAGCUUCUAGGUUAAUUUUUUAUGUGGUCGGCAUAACACCUAAUUCAUAAUGAAGUAAUUUUAAAUAAGUUAUAAGGUUUAAGAGAAA
Long non-coding RNA from Triticum aestivum (bread wheat), 1501 nucleotides. RefSeq lists it as uncharacterized. The record is from RefSeq and is a predicted model, not a curated record. The transcript is spliced from 5 exons. NCBI's taxonomy places the organism in Eukaryota, Viridiplantae, Streptophyta, Magnoliopsida, Poales, Poaceae.